AACGAACGCUGGCGGCAUGCCUAACACAUGCAAGUCGAACGAAGUCUUCGGACUUAGUGGCGCACGGGUGCGUAACGCGUGGGAAUCUGCCCUUGGGUACGGAAUAACUCAGAGAAAUUUGUGCUAAUACCGUAUAAUGUCUUCGGACCAAAGAUUUAUCGCCCAAGGAUGAGCCCGCGUAAAAUUAGCUAGUUGGUGGGGUAAAAGCCUACCAAGGCGACGAUCUUUAGCUGGUCUGAGAGGAUGAUCAGCCACACUGGGACUGAGACACGGCCCAGACUCCUACGGGAGGCAGCAGUGGGGAAUAUUGGACAAUGGGCGAAAGCCUGAUCCAGCAAUGCCGCGUGAGUGAUGAAGGCCCUAGGGUUGUAAAGCUCUUUUACCAGGGAUGAUAAUGACAGUACCUGGAGAAUAAGCUCCGGCUAACUCCGUG
RNAcentral lists this ribosomal RNA (433 nucleotides) under uncultured bacterium. RNAcentral's name for it is "partial 16S ribosomal RNA". It matches the Rfam family "Bacterial small subunit ribosomal RNA", at positions 29 to 507 of the family's 1533-position model. The record is from RNAcentral.